This 201-nucleotide ribosomal RNA is filed under the name uncultured bacterium. RNAcentral's name for it is "partial 16S ribosomal RNA". It matches the Rfam family "Bacterial small subunit ribosomal RNA", at positions 29 to 258 of the family's 1533-position model. The record is from RNAcentral.
AAUGAACGCUGGCGGCAUGCCUAACACAUGCAAGUCGAACGAGACCUUCGGGUCUAGUGGCGCACGGGUGCGUAACGCGUGGGAAUCUGCCCUUGGGUUCGGAAUAACAGUGAGAAAUUACUGCUAAUACCGAAUGAUGACGUAAGUCCAAAGAUUUAUCGCCCAGGAUGAGCCCGCGUAGGAUUAGCUAGUUGGUGAGGU